GGCCAAGUUUUUAAGGGCGCACGGUGGAUGCCUUGGCACCAGGAACCGAUGAAGGACGUGGGAGGCCACGAUAGGCCCCGGGGAGUCGUCAACCAGGCUUUGAUCCGGGGGUGUCCGAAUGGGGAAACCCGGCAGUCGUCAUGGGCUGUCACCCAUACCUGAACACAUAGGGUAUGUGGAGGGAACGCGGGGAAGUGAAACAUCUCAGUACCCGCAGGAAGAGAAAACAACCGUGAUUCCGGGAGUAGUGGCGAGCGAAACCGGAUGAGGCCAAACCGUAUGCGUGUGAGACCCGGCAGGGGUUGCGUAUACGGGGUUGUGGGAUCUCUCUUUCAUGGUCUGCCGGCCAUGAGACGAGUCAGAAACCGUUGAUGUAGGCGAAGGACAUGCGAAAGGUCCGGCGUAGAGGGUAAGACCCCCGUAGUCGAAACAUCAGCGGCUCGUUUGAGAGACACCCAAGUAGCACGGGGCCCGAGAAAUCCCGUGUGAAUCUGGCGGGACCACCCGUUAAGCCUAAAUAUUCCCUGGUGACCGAUAGCGGAUAGUACCGUGAGGGAAUGGUGAAAAGUACCGCGGGAGCGGAGUGAAAUAGUACCUGAAACCGUGUGCCUACAAGCCGUGGGAGCGUCGGAUGCGUGUUUACACGCAUCUCGUGACUGCGUGCCUUUUGAAGAAUGAGCCUGCGAGUUUGCGGUGCGUUGCGAGGUUAACCCGUUGUGGGGUAGCCGUAGCGAAAGCGAGUCCGAACAGGGCGUUUGAGUAGCGCGCUCAAGACCCGAAGCGGAGUGAUCUAGCCAUGGGCAGGUUGAAGCGGCUGUAAGAGGUCGUGGAGGACCGAACCCACCAGGGUUGAAAACCUGGGGGAUGACCUGUGGUUAGGGGUGAAAGGCCAAUCAAACUCCGUGAUAGCUGGUUCUCCCCGAAAUGCAUUUAGGUGCAGCGUCGUGUGUUUCUUGCCGGAGGUAGAGCACUGGAUAGGCGAUGGGCCCUACCGGGUUACUGACCUUAGCCAAACUCCGAAUGCCGGUAAGUGAGAGCGCGGCAGUGAGACUGUGGGGGAUAAGCUCCAUGGUCGAGAGGGAAACAGCCCAGAGCAUCGACUAAGGCCCCUAAGCGUAUGCUAAGUGGGAAAGGAUGUGGAGUCGCAGAGACAACCAGGAGGUUGGCUUAGAAGCAGCCACCCUUGAAAGAGUGCGUAAUAGCUCACUGGUCUAGUGAUUCCGCGCCGACAAUGUAGCGGGGCUCAAGUAUACCGCCGAAGUCGUGUCAUUCCAGCGUAUAGCCCUAACGGGUGUUGGGAUGGGUAGGGGAGCGUCGUGUGCCGGGUGAAGCAGCCCUGUAAGGGAGUUGUGGACGGUUCACGAGUGAGAAUGCAGGCAUGAGUAGCGAUUCACACGUGGGAAACGUGUGCGCCGAUUGACUAAGGGUUCCUGGGUCAAGCUGAUCUGCCCAGGGUAAGUCGGGACCUAAGGCGAGGCCGACAGGCGUAGUCGAUGGAUAACCGGUUGAUAUUCCGGUACCCGCUGUGAAGCGUCAAACAUUGAACCAGGCGAUGCUAAGUCCGUGAAGCCGUCCCGGAGCCUUCGGGCAAGGGGAAGUGGUGGAGCCGACGGUCCAGACCUGUAGUAGGUGAGUGAUGGGGUGACGCAGGAAGGUAGUCCAUCCCGGGCGGUGGUUGUCCCGGGGUAAGGGUGUAGGCCGUGCGAUAGGUAAAUCCGUCGUACACGAGGCUGAGACCUGAUGCCGAGCCGAUUGUGGUGAAGUGGAUGAUCCUAUGCUGUCGAGAAAAGCCUCUAGCGAGUUUUAUGGCGGCCCGUACCCUAAACCGACUCAGGUGGUCUGGUAGAGAAUACCGAGGCGUUCGGGUGAACUAUGGUUAAGGAACUCGGCAAAAUGCCCCCGUAACUUCGGGAGAAGGGGGGCCAUCACCGGUGAGAGGACUUGCUCCUUGAGCUGGGGGUGGCCGCAGAGACCAGCGAGAAGCGACUGUUUACUAAAAACACAGGUCCGUGCGAAGCCGUAAGGCGAUGUAUACGGACUGACGCCUGCCCGGUGCUGGAACGUUAAGGGGACCGGUUAGUCAUUCUUCGGGGUGGCGAAGCUGAGAACUUAAGCGCCAGUAAACGGCGGUGGUAACUAUAACCAUCCUAAGGUAGCGAAAUUCCUUGUCGGGUAAGUUCCGACCUGCACGAAUGGCGUAACGACUUCUCGACUGUCUCAACCAUAGGCCCGGUGAAAUUGCACUACGAGUAAAGAUGCUCGUUUCGCGCAGCAGGACGGAAAGACCCCGGGACCUUUACUACAGUUUGAUAUUGGUGUUCGGUUCGGCUUGUGUAGGAUAGCUGGGAGACUGUGAAGCGGCCACGCCAGUGGUUGUGGAGUCGUUGUUGAAAUACCAGUCUGGUCGUGCUGGAUGUCUAACCCGCGCCCGUGAUCCGGGUGGGGGACAGUGUCUGAUGGGUAGUUUAACUGGGGCGGUUGCCUCCUAAAGGGUAACGGAGGCGCCCAAAGGUUCCCUCAGCCUGGUUGGUAAUCAGGUGGUGAGUGUAAGUGCACAAGGGAGCUUGACUGUGAGACCGACGGGUCGAGCAGGGACGAAAGUCGGGACUAGUGAUCCGGCGGUGGCUUGUGGAAGCGCCGUCGCUCAACGGAUAAAAGGUACCCCGGGGAUAACAGGCUGAUCUUCCCCAAGAGUCCAUAUCGACGGGAUGGUUUGGCACCUCGAUGUCGGCUCGUCGCAUCCUGGGGCUGGAGUCGGUCCCAAGGGUUGGGCUGUUCGCCCAUUAAAGCGGUACGCGAGCUGGGUUUAGAACGUCGUGAGACAGUUCGGUCCCUAUCCGCUGCGCGCGCAGGAAUAUUGAGAAGGGCUGUCCCUAGUACGAGAGGACCGGGACGGACGAACCUCUGGUGUGCCAGUUGUUCUGCCAAGGGCAUGGCUGGUUGGCUACGUUCGGGAGGGAUAACCGCUGAAAGCAUCUAAGCGGGAAGCCUGCUUCGAGAUGAGUAUUCCCACCCACUUGAUGGGGUAAGGCUCCCAGUAGACGACUGGGUUGAUAGGCCAGAUCUGGAAGCCCGGUAACGGGUGGAGGUGACUGGUACUAAUAGGCCGAGGGCUUGUCCUC
Molecule: ribosomal RNA, 3122 nt
Organism: Actinobacteria bacterium OK074
Lineage: Bacteria; Bacillati; Actinomycetota; Actinomycetes
Rfam family: Bacterial large subunit ribosomal RNA
Source: Rfam